RNAcentral lists this ribosomal RNA (333 nucleotides) under uncultured Nocardioides sp. RNAcentral's name for it is "bacterial SSU rRNA". It matches the Rfam family "Bacterial small subunit ribosomal RNA", at positions 568 to 898 of the family's 1533-position model. Lineage: Bacteria; Bacillati; Actinomycetota; Actinomycetes; Propionibacteriales; Nocardioidaceae. The record is from RNAcentral.
CUCGUAGGCGGUUUGUCGCGUCGGGAGUGAAAACCUACAGCUUAACUGUGGGCUUGCUUUCGAUACGGGCAGACUAGAGGUAUGCAGGGGAGAACGGAAUUCCUGGUGUAGCGGUGAAAUGCGCAGAUAUCAGGAGGAACACCGGUGGCGAAGGCGGUUCUCUGGGCAUGAUCUGACGCUGAGGAGCGAAAGUGUGGGGAGCGAACAGGAUUAGAUACCCUGGUAGUCCACACCGUAAACGUUGGGCGCUAGGUGUGGGAUCCAUUCCACGGGUUCCGUGCCGCAGCUAACGCAUUAAGCGCCCCGCCUGGGGAGUACGGCCGCAAGGCUAAA